Molecule: microRNA precursor, 143 nt
Organism: Nicotiana attenuata
Lineage: Eukaryota; Viridiplantae; Streptophyta; Magnoliopsida; Solanales; Solanaceae
Rfam family: mir-172 microRNA precursor family
About the family: mir-172 has been experimentally verified in Arabidopsis thaliana. This family is thought to target mRNAs coding for APETALA2-like transcription factors. The mature sequence is excised from the 3' arm of the hairpin.
Source: Rfam
GUUUUUGCAGAUGCAGCAUCUUCAAGAUUCACAUAUAGUAUAUAUUAUGGAGUUCUAUGGGGGGUGAAAAAUAUAUUAUUUUUUGCUCCCUAUGGUUCCUUAAUUUGAUAUGAGAAUCUUGAUGAUGCUGCAGCAGCAAUGAA